Molecule: ribosomal RNA, 395 nt
Filed under: uncultured bacterium
Lineage: Bacteria
Description: partial 16S ribosomal RNA
Rfam family: Bacterial small subunit ribosomal RNA
Source: RNAcentral
AUACGUAGGGGGCGAGCGUUGUCCGGAAUGAUUGGGCGUAAGGGCGCGUAGGCGGCGCGGUAAGUCUGGAGUGAAAGUCCUGCUUUCAAGGUGGGAAUUGCUUUGGAUACUGCCGCGCUUGAGUGCAGGAGAGGUUAUCGGAAUUCCCGGUGUAGCGGUGAAAUGCGUAGAGAUCGGGAGGAACACCAGUGGCGAAGGCGGGUAACUGGACUGCAACUGACGCUGAGGCGCGAAAGUGUGGGGAGCAAACAGGAUUAGAUACCCUGGUAGUCCACACUGUAAACGAUGAAUGCUAGGUGUAAGAGGUAUCGACCCCUUUUGUGCCGGAGUCAACACAAUAAGCAUUCCGCCUGGGGAGUACGGCCGCAAGGUUGAAACUCAAAUGAAUUGGCGGG